CGCUUUUUCCCUACACCAGAAUAGACGCCCACAAUCACAAGAUAGAGAUUCCCUCAUUUUCACCCUUCCUCCCUUAAAAUUCCCUCAUUUGCACCUCGAAUCAACGCACUCACACAGCAAGAUAGAGAUUUUUCUGCGACAAUGUAUUCCAUGGGGGCGGCGUUGCACGUGCAGCAGAAGCGACAGAAGGAGAGGUUAGUAAAGAAAAUGGAGCAAUUGAAGAAUUUGAGCGUGGAAAAACAUGUGGUGGAGGCAUCGGCUGCUACGAUUUGCAGCGCCAAAGCCAAAAUCCACCCUGCGCCUCUCUUCAUUUGAAGUGGAAUUGAGUUUGUGCUGAAACCGUCCACGAUUUGUAUAGAGUUUUAGUAUCUUUUUUGAUGGGACGACAAACCAUGUGAGACACUGAACUGGACUAGGGAAGUUAAAAUAGGUCUUGCAAAAUGGGACGACAAACCAACUCCAUAGGGUCUCAACUCUCAAAUAUGAUUAGCAUAUGAAAGUGUAAAAAUCCGGGACUUUCCUUGAACGAUCUCUGAGUUUCCAACACUGGAACAAAUGCUUCCCUGGUUUUCUUCAACACGUCACUAAUUCCUUCCUCAGCUGCAUGCGGGCUAACUAAAGCCUUCUCGACAUCUUCAAACUUGGCCGUAGCCAAAGGUGCAGUACCAACAACAGUCUUGCCAGAGUUAGGCCCUUCUAUGGUCAAUGUAGCAGCAUCGUCCCUCGAAGCAUACCAAGUGUUACCGCAAGAAACACAUUCCAACUGAGGACACAAAAUGAACAAAUGUGGAAACAAUUAUUCCUCUUCUUCGCUUUUACAUGUGUCAUAGUAAUAUUUUCAGGGUUAAUUGAAAGGAAUGUUAUUCAUUCCACAGGUUCUUGGGACAUUGGUUUUGUUAAAACAACAAUUGCUGGAUCACAAGCUAUUACCAAGAUUUCAUGUUACCAUUAGACAAAACCAAUAUCAGCCUAUAAAAUUUAACAUGUGCGGAAUUGUGAACUAUGAAUCACAUCUCAGUCAUCUACUUUUCUAAA
This is a long non-coding RNA of Salvia splendens (bonfire salvia), 1035 nucleotides long. RefSeq lists it as uncharacterized. The record is from RefSeq and is a predicted model, not a curated record. The transcript is spliced from 3 exons. Lineage: Eukaryota; Viridiplantae; Streptophyta; Magnoliopsida; Lamiales; Lamiaceae.